Molecule: unclassified non-coding RNA, 231 nt
Filed under: fungal sp.
Lineage: Eukaryota; Fungi
Description: partial internal transcribed spacer region
Rfam family: Eukaryotic small subunit ribosomal RNA (bases 1-48)
Source: RNAcentral
AAAAGUCGUAACAAGGUUUCCGUAGGUGAACCUGCGGAAGGAUCAUUCACUUUUUAUUAUUUUGUUUUUUUUCUAAAACAAAAUUUAAAACCCCACAAUUUUGGAUGAAUUUAAUUAAUUUAUUUUUUAUUUUAUUUUUUUUUAUUAUAACCCUAUUAUUUGACUAACAUUUUUAUUUAAUUAUUAAAAAAUUAAAAAAACAACUCUUAACAACGGAUAUCUUGGCUCUCG